RNAcentral lists this ribosomal RNA (200 nucleotides) under Aeromonas salmonicida subsp. achromogenes. Its description in RNAcentral is "partial 16S ribosomal RNA". It matches the Rfam family "Bacterial small subunit ribosomal RNA", at positions 1 to 206 of the family's 1533-position model. Lineage: Bacteria; Pseudomonadati; Pseudomonadota; Gammaproteobacteria; Aeromonadales; Aeromonadaceae. The record is from RNAcentral.
AAAUUGAAGAGUUUGAUCAUGGCUCAGAUUGAACGCUGGCGGCAGGCCUAACACAUGCAAGUCGAGCGGCAGCGGGAAAGUAGCUUGCUACUUUUGCCGGCGAGCGGCGGACGGGUGAGUAAUGCCUGGGGAUCUGCCCAGUCGAGGGGGAUAACAGUUGGAAACGACUGCUAAUACCGCAUACGCCCUGCGGGGGAAAG